This 468-nucleotide ribosomal RNA is filed under the name uncultured bacterium. RNAcentral describes it as "partial 16S ribosomal RNA". It matches the Rfam family "Bacterial small subunit ribosomal RNA", at positions 28 to 507 of the family's 1533-position model. The record is from RNAcentral.
GACGAACGCUUUCUUCUUUCUUAACACCUGCAAGUCGAACGGAAAGGCCCUGCUUUUGUGGGGUGCUCGAGUGGCGAACGGGUGAGUAACACGUGAGUAACCUGCCCUUGACUUUGGGAUAACUUCAGGAAACUGGGGCUAAUACCGGAUAGGAGCUCCUGCUGCAUGGUGGGGGUUGGAAAGUUUCGGCGGUUGGGGAUGGACUCGCGGCUUAUCAGCUUGUUGGUGGGGUAGUGGCUUACCAAGGCUUUGACGGUUAGCCGGCCUGAGAGGGUGACCGGCCACAUUGGGACUGAGAUACGGCCCAGACUCCUACGGGAGGCAGCAGUGGGGAAUAUUGCACAAUGGGCGGAAGCCUGAUGCAGCAACGCCGCGUGCGGGAUGACGGCAUUCGGGUUGUAAACCGCUUUCGCCUGUGACGAAGCGUGAGUGACGGUAAUGGGUAAAGAAGCAAAGGCUAACUACGGG